GAUGAACGCUGGCGGCGUGCCUAAUACAUGCAAGUAGAACGCUGAAGCUUGGUGCUUGCACCGAGCGGAUGAGUUGCGAACGGGUGAGUAACGCGUAGGUAACCUGCCUCUUAGCGGGGGAUAACUAUUGGAAACGAUAGCUAAUACCGCACAAAAGUCGAUAUCGCAUGAUAUUGAUUUGAAAGGUGCAAAUGCAUCACUAAGAGAUGGACCUGCGUUGUAUUAGCUAGUUGGUGAGGUAACGGCUCACCAAGGCGACGAUACAUAGCCGACCUGAGAGGGUGAUCGGCCACACUGGGACUGAGACACGGCCCAGACUCCUACGGGAGGCAGCAGUAGGGAAUCUUCGGCAAUGGGGGCAACCCUGACCGAGCAACGCCGCGUGAGUGAAGAAGGUUUUCGGAUCGUAAAGCUCUGUUGUAAGAGAAGAACGAGUGUGAGAGUGGAAAGUUCACACUGUGACGGUAACUUACCAGAAAGGGACGGCUAACUACGUG
RNAcentral lists this ribosomal RNA (497 nucleotides) under uncultured bacterium. RNAcentral's name for it is "partial 16S ribosomal RNA". It matches the Rfam family "Bacterial small subunit ribosomal RNA", at positions 28 to 507 of the family's 1533-position model. The record is from RNAcentral.